GACGAACGCUGGCGGCGUGCUUAACACAUGCAAGUCGAACGGAAAGGCCCUGCUUUUGUGGGGUGCUCGAGUGGCGAACGGGUGAGUAACACGUGAGUAACCUGCCCUUGACUUUGGGAUAACUUCAGGAAACUGGGGCUAAUACCGGAUAUGAGCUCCUGCUGCAUGGUGUGGGUUGGAAAGUUUCGGCGGUUGGGGCUGGACUCGCGGCUUAUCAGCUUGUUGGUGGGGUAGUGGCUUACCAAGGCUUUGACGGGUAGCCGGCCUGAGAGGGUGACCGGCGACAUGGGGACUGAGAUACGGCCCAGACUCCUACGGGAGGCAGCAGUGGGGAAUAUUGCACAAUGGGCGGAAGCCUGAUGCAGCAACGCCGCGUGCGGGAUGACGGCCUUCGGGUUGUAAACCGCUUUCGCCUGUGACGAAGCGUGAGUGACGGUAAUGGGUAAAGAAGCACCGGCUAACUACGUG
Molecule: ribosomal RNA, 468 nt
Filed under: uncultured bacterium
Lineage: Bacteria
Description: partial 16S ribosomal RNA
Rfam family: Bacterial small subunit ribosomal RNA
Source: RNAcentral